AAGGAGGCACAAGUGCUAACUGUGAAAAGAUUAGAAAAUAUUUGUCUGUUUUUACAAUACGUUUGGAAGGACAAGGAGCCUCCCUGCUUCCCAGCUGAAGGGUUUCUACUUGCCUUGUUAUAUUUCGACUGGACUGGAUGAUACGAGAAAUGUCCUGUGCUUAAGGAUGCCUUGGGAAGCGGGAGCGCCCUGCGUGAGCCUUCACAGCUCCUCCUGGCCAGGCUUUCUUUGCACACAUUGGAUGCUUUCGACUCACAUUGUGCUGCGCUGUAGUCUGAGGUAGAAAAUUCUUUGGAUGAAUGGAGAGGAAGGAAACCAAGCAGGGAGUGUGACCACUCGGAGCGGUCCGGUUUUGCGCUGUUAGACGGAUGUUA
Long non-coding RNA from Rhea pennata, 374 nucleotides. RefSeq lists it as uncharacterized. NCBI's taxonomy places the organism in Eukaryota, Metazoa, Chordata, Aves, Rheiformes, Rheidae. The record is from RefSeq and is a predicted model, not a curated record. The transcript is spliced from 3 exons.